GGAGAGGUGGCCGAGAGGCUGAAGGCAACGGUUUGCUAAACCGUCGUACGGGUUAUAGCCUGUACCCCGGGUUCGAAUCCCGGCCUCUCCG
This 91-nucleotide transfer RNA is filed under the name Fidelibacterota bacterium. RNAcentral describes it as "tRNA-Ser". It matches the Rfam family "tRNA". From Rfam's summary of the family: Transfer RNA (tRNA) molecules are approximately 80 nucleotides in length. Their secondary structure includes four short double-helical elements and three loops (D, anti-codon, and T loops). Lineage: Bacteria; Pseudomonadati; Fidelibacterota. The record is from RNAcentral.